This 429-nucleotide ribosomal RNA is filed under the name Bacteroidota bacterium. RNAcentral's name for it is "Bacteroidetes bacterium partial 16S ribosomal RNA". It matches the Rfam family "Bacterial small subunit ribosomal RNA", at positions 355 to 776 of the family's 1533-position model. The record is from RNAcentral. Lineage: Bacteria; Pseudomonadati; Bacteroidota.
UAGGGAAUCUUCCGCAAUGGACGCAAGUCUGACGGAGCAACGCCGCGUGAGUGAAGAAGGAUUUCGGUUCGUAAAACUCUGUUGUUAGAGAAGAACAGCGCAUAGAGUAACUGUUAUGCGUGUGACGGUAUCUAACCAGAAAGCCACGGCUAACUACGUGCCAGCAGCCGCGGUAAUACGUAGGUGGCAAGCGUUGUCCGGAUUUAUUGGGCGUAAAGCGAGCGCAGGCGGUCAAUUAAGUCUGAUGUGAAAGCCCCCGGCUCAACCGGGGAGGGUCAUUGGAAACUGGUUGACUUGAGUGCAGAAGAGGAGAGUGGAAUUCCAUGUGUAGCGGUGAAAUGCGUAGAUAUAUGGAGGAACACCGGUGGCGAAGGCGACUCUCUGGUCUGUAACUGACGCUGAGGUUCGAAAGCGUGGGUAGCAAACAGG